This 8900-nucleotide long non-coding RNA is filed under the name Homo sapiens (human). Its description in RNAcentral is "HSALNT0198754". Lineage: Eukaryota; Metazoa; Chordata; Mammalia; Primates; Hominidae. The record is from RNAcentral.
CCGCGCUGGCCACGGAGGGUGACGCAGAACUGCUCAUCUCCAGGGAAAGGCGACAUCCCGAGAGCCCUCCAGAGCAGAUCUGAGCUCUGCUGGGCGGGGAAGCGGAGACUGAUUCGCCGCGGUCGCGGGCCCAGCGGCUGGGAGGUCCCGCGCUGGCCGAGCAAAUGAGGAGGGCGCAGGGCACGGGGGCGGUGCGCGCCCAGGACAGUUUCCCGUCGGCUUCUCCCGGACUGUCCUACCACUUCCAUCUCGGAGCGGGAUGCUCGGAUCCCCGCAAGGCCUCCUGCGGACGUGGGAGAGUUGCUGAGACAGGUGAGAGUUGAUGAGGCUCAGCGUCUCCAGAUAAAAGAAGGGACAGAGCUGUCGGUGCGGUGAGGUUUGAAAAGUUGCGGCGGCCCCGGCAGCUGCAGGGGGCGAGCGCGGAGCAAAGCCCGGGCCGCACCAGACGGGCCCUGAGUCUCCAGGGCUCCUCGUCCCCAUGCGCCAGCGUGUCUGAUGCUUCACUGGACCCGGGUCUCUUUCUCAAUGUCAUCUCACAGCCUCUGUCCCUUGGGUAGGGAAUCAGGCUUCUGAGCUAUCAUCUGCUUAGUACCGUCGUCCUCUGCUUUGGAAAAUAUUUGAAUUGUGGUCUGAUAGAAGACAUGAAAAAGUUAGAAUACUACUAGAUUCCAAAGGGAAAAAAAAAGUUUCUUCGUUUACAAGUAGCAUCUACUGAUGGGAAUUUCUUAAUUGUUAUCAUUUAAGAAAAUACAGAACCAGGUUUGGAUCCAUGAAAACGAAUUGGUCUUCAGCCUUUCAAACACUGGCCAAAAAAAUUUGCAAAAGAAAAACACAGGCAUCAGGUAGCAGGCACAGUAUUAAAAAUUCAGACAGUUUUACUGUCGGAUCUUAAAAUAUAUUAGAAGUGUGUGACUUUCAUAAAGGACGAGAGAGAAUCAACUUCAUGCUAUUUCGAUAGGUAUUUUCUAGAUAUGCCAGAUAAUUUUGUCUUAUUAUCUCACAGAUUACUUGUUUCAGCCAUACACCAUGGGGAAAAAAAUGGCAAGGGGUUUGAAUGAUCGUUUCCAGAGCAGUUUUUCGUAGCUACAGUAGUACUUCCAUUUUACAAAUUCUCUGUGUUAGUCAUUCACUCAUAUAUUUCAUUCACCAAACAUUUAUUAAGGCUCUUCUAUGUGCUGUGUACAGUGCUAGACUUGGGAGAAGAGGGAUAAGUGGUGAGAGGGACAUACAAAAUUGAAUUAGAAAAAUUCACAGUUUAGGCAACUGGAAAUGCUAGGAAGCAGUUGUAAACCACUAUGAUACAUUCUUGUCGUGAGACGCCACCAGGGCAGCCCCUGCUAAUGGCCGGGAGAGGUACACUGACCACAGCUGAGUUUCGGGGUUCAUCUGCGUGGUGGCCUUUGCUCUUUCAAGGCAGCCACUAUUGGUUCCAUUUACAACAGGAGGAGACCAACACUAAAAGUGCAGUGAUGAGCCUCAUGUCUCACAGUUAGUCAGGCUCCUAAUCCAAAAGCCACUGCUAUGACCUGCGCUUCCGGACAUUCUGCCAUUUGAUCCCUACAACCUCACUACCUGAAGGACUAUAUUUUGAUCAUUCUUAAUGGGCCAGCUUCAAACCCCGUCAAGUUUUGAAGAGGGCAGAUGAAGCUGAUGACAGCUCCAGUUCCAGCUAUGGGUGACCUGUCUGUCUGCCUUUUUUGAGCUGUGGAGUGAUCAGAGUCAUAUUCGCUGCCUGUGCAGUACCACAGGCCUGAUGAAAAUGAAAUGGCAACACCACACAGAUGGCGAAGCGUAGGUCUCACAAGCGUCCUGGCCACGAAGACCUAGAUGCCUGCAGUUUCCUCGGAUUGAAAACAUGGAGGGAUCUCCUGGUGCAGUGAGUCCAGCAUAUCCAGAGUGAAGCACAGUCACUGGUCAUUUUACACUACAUGGAAAAUCUCAACAAGUUUCAAAUUUUGAUAUUUUGGGUAUCUCUCCACUCUCCUCCGCAUCCAGUACAUCACCGCCAUGGGCUGAAUGUUUGUGUCCCGGCAAAUUUCUGUGUUGAAAUCUAAGCCCCAAGAUGAUGGUAUCAGAGAUGAGGGCUUUGGCAGGUGGUUAAGCCGUGAAGACAGAGGCCUGAUGAAAGGGGUUGGUGCCUUUAGAAAAGAGGCCUCAGAUAGCUGUCCCGUCCCUUCUACCAUGUGGGAAUGAAGAGAGACAGUAUCACCUGUGAACCAGAAGGUGGCGCUCACCAGACAUUGAAUCUGCUGAUGCAGUGUUCUCGGAUGUGAACCAGAAAAUCUGAGACGGGUCUUAGUUAAUUUGGAAAGUUUAUUUUGCCAAGGUUGAGGACGUGCUUGUGACACAGCCUCAGGAAAUCCUGAUGACAUGUGCCCAAGGUGGUCAGGGCACAGCUUGGUUUUAUACAUUUAGGGAGACAUGAGGCAUCAAUUAAUAUAUGUAAGAAACACUGGUUCGGUCUGGAAAGGCGGGAAAACUUGAAGCAAAGGCAGGAAGGCUGGAAGCAGGGAGGGAGCUUCCAGGCCACAGAUAGGUGAUACACAAAUGGUUACAUCCUUUUGAAUUUCUCAUUAGCCUUUCCAAAGGUGGCAAAUCAGAUAUGCAUCUAUCUCAGUGAGUAGAGGAAUGGCUUUGAAUAGAAUGGGAGGCAGGUUUGCCCUAAGCAGUUCCCGGCUUGAGUUUUCCUUAGUGAUUUUGGAGUCCCAAGAUAUUUUCCUUUCACAUGGACUUCCCAGCCUUUAGAACUGUCAGAGAUAAAUGUCUGUUGUUUAUAAGCCACCCAGUUUAUGGCAUUUUGUUAUAGCAGCCCAAACCAAAUAAGAAGACCGCCAGCCAGUUCUACCUAAACAGUCCCUCCAUGUGUCCACCAUCCUGAGUCCCCAUUACCACGCCUUGUCCAGACCCCAGCAUUUCUGUGACUUGAUGCAAUAUAAGUUUACUGCCUAAAUAACAGGUACAGGACUUUGUGUGGACAAAUGUGCUCUUUUCUCCUGGGGUAAUAUCUACGUACAAAUGACUGGGUCACGUGGUAGGUAUUUUUAACUUUUUAAAAAACUACCAAACUGUUUUCCAUAGUCUUUGCACCAUUUCACUUUCCCACCAGCAAUGAAUGAGUGUUCCAGUAACUCUGCAUUCUCAACAGCACUUGUUAUCAUCAGCACUUGUUAUCAUCACCUUAAAGAGUUUCAGCCAUUCUAAAGGUGUGUAGUGGUUUUCUCCCCACCUUUUAAUUUUCUUAAUAGUGCCCUUCAAAAAACAGAAGUUUUUAAUUUUGAUGAAAUCUAGUUUACCAAUUGUUUUCUUUUAUGGAUUGUGCUUUUUGUUGUUACAUGUAUGAAAUCUUUGCCUAACCCGAGAGUGCAAUAUUUUUUUUCCAUGUGUUCUUACAGAAGUCUUAUAUAUCUAUGUUUUACAUUUAGGUCUACGAUCAAUUUCAGUUAAUUUUCAUAUAGGGCCUAAGAUAUGGAUUCAGGUUCAUUUUCUGGCACAUGAACAUCCAUCUGUUCCAGCACCAUUUGGUGAAAAAAUGAUACUUUUCCAUUGAAUUACUUUUGCAUUUUUAUUGAAAAUAAGACAAAAUUCCAAAUACCAUAAUCCUGAAUGCUAAAAUCCCAAAAGAUCAAAGAUCCUAAAGUAUAAAUCCCUAAAGUCUAAAAUUCUGAAAAUCACAAUCACAGGAUAGGGUUUUUUUUCCUUUUCUUCUAUUUUUUUCACUAUUUUAAAUAGCAAAACAAUUCACUAUGCUAUAUAUUUCAUCGUUGCAUCAUUUCCAAAACUUGACGUAUAGGUUGUGCAGAGACGUUUAGAGAGUCCUAAUUUGUUUCAUGCAUUUUUUUGCAAAUGUGACUCCAUGAAAGUUCAUUAUCUCAAUGUUGAUUUUGUGUAUAAACAUUGUGUAUGUACAUGAAAACAUUGAAACCUCCUCAGUGAUGUCCUUUUUGUACACCUGCAUUUGUAAAAGACAACAUUUUUUGAGAUCUCAGCUCUUUGGGUGACUGCAUAUGUAGUGGUAAUCCAUUGUGGUUUUUGAUCAAUCUUGUCAAAAGACUUCGGUUUUUUAUCACAGUAUUUCAGAUGAGCACAUAUACAAAGCUGGUUGCACACAAUUACCAAUCAUAGUGAUAUGUGUUUACACAUUUUCCUUUUGACCUACUUCUUUAGGAAUACAGUUUAUCUGCUCAUAAAUGCUAUAUCUGUGCCAGGUAUAGUCGUAUACCUGAGUAUUUAUUCUUGCAAAAACAUGUACGCUAGUAUUGCUUCUUUUAUUGUGUAAAGCGGCCUAUGAAGUGUUCUGUUGUGUUUUUAUAUGUUUCUCAAAUAAAUCCCCCCCUCCCUUUUUUUUUGAGAUGCAGUCUCAUGUUGUUGCCAAGGCUGGAAUGUAGUGGUGUGAUUUGGGCUCACUGCAAACUCCGCCUCCCGGAUUCAAGCGAUUAUCCUGCCUCAGCCUCCCGAAUAGCUGGGAUUACAGGCAUGCACCACCAGGCCGGGCUAAUUUUUGUAUUUUUAGUAAAGAUGGAGUUUCACCAUGUUGGCCAGGCUGGUCUUGAACUCCUGACCUCAGGUGAUCCACCUGCCUCAGCCUCCCAAAGUGCUGGGAUUACAGGAGUGAGCCACUGUGCCCACACCCACUCCCCUUAAAAUGUAAGUAAAUAUCUUCAGGAAUUUUUAAAAUUAUUUUUUCCAGAAUUAUAUUUUCAGGAUUUUGGAUUUUAGGGAUUUUUGAUCUUUCAGAAUUUUAAGAGCUGGGAUUGUGUCUUUCAAGACUGCUUCUUCAGGGACUAUGACGGGCUUCCCUCUAGACAGCAUGGGCUAGGAAGCAUGUUCUGGAAUGUGACAUUUAAGCUGAGAACUGAAUUGUACAAAAAACCUAGCCACGCCAAUUACCCUAAGUGAAUUAAUGCAAAAAUAGAAAUCCAAAUACCACAUGUUUUCACUUAUAAGUGGGAGGCAAGCAUUGGGUGCACAGGGACAUAAAGAUGGGAAAAUAGACACUGGGGAUUCCAAAAGGCAGGAGGAAGGGAGAGGGUUGAAAACUUACCUAUUGGGCACUGUGUUCACUAUCUGGGUGAUGGGAUCAGUUGAAGCCCAAACCUCACUGUCAUGCAAUAAAUCCUUGUAACAAACCACUCACGUAGCUCCUGAAUCCAAAAGAAAAAAAAAACCAAAAAACAAUAUUAACUUUUACCCGAAAACCACCUAGCCACAGAAACCAGGGGGCAGUGGUGGAGAGGAGGCCCCAGGAGGAUUCUAGGUGAGGUGGCUGGACAUGCAGAAGCCCUGCUGGGGAAGGAAGAGGUUUUGUGUUUAGGAAGUGAAAGCCCAGGUAGCUGAGCUGUGGCGAGCCGGGAAGAAUGAAGGGAUGAGACAGCAGAGACACAGGCUUCGGUUCUGGGGGUCCUGCUGCUGCCCCACCUCCUCAAUGGUCCUCCUGGCCCCUCUCUGCUAAGCAGGAAGCAAUGGCAUCUUUUUUUUUUUUUCUUUUUUUGAGACGGAGUCUGGCUCUGUCGCCCAGGCUGGAAUGCAGUGGCGCAAUCUCGGCUCACUGCAAGCUCCGCCUCCUGGGUUCACACCAUUCUCCUGCCUCAGCCUCCCGAGUAGCUGGGACUACAGGCGCCCGCCACCACGCCCGGCUAAUUUUUUGUAUUUUUAGUAGAGACGGGGUUUCACCGUGUUGGCCAGGAUGGUCUCGAUCUCCUGACCUCGUGAUCCGCCUGCCUUGGCUUCCCAAAGUGCUGCGAUUACAGGCAUGAGCCACCGCGCCCGGCCACAAUGGCAUCUUUUACCCAUGAAGUUGUCGGCACAGUUGGGAAAUAGCAGGCAGUUCCAGCGGAGUUUCUCAAGGCUUGGAUUUGGCUAGGAAGUUAGGCGGUAGUGGGGACAGACUCAGAGGUUUUAGGAAUGACCACCCUGUUUCCAGUAUGUAGGAAAAUGACUUCUUGAGACAGAAAACUCUGAAAUUCUUUUUUUUUUUUUUUUUUCAGAUGGAGUUUCGCUCUUGUCACCCAGGCUGGAGUGCAAUGGUGUGAUCUCGGCUCACUGCAUCCUCCGUCUGCUGGGUUCAAGCGAUUCUCCUGCCUCAGCCUCUCAAGUAGCUGGAAUUACAGGUGCCCGCCACCAUGCCCAGCUAAUUUUUGUAUUUUUAGUAGAGACGGGGUUUCGCCACGUUGGCCAGGCUAGUCUCGAACUCCUGGCCUCAGGUGAUCCACCCACCUCAGCCUCCCAAAGUGCUGGGAUUACAGGCAUGAGCCACCACACCCGGCUGAAAUUCUUUUUGUUUUAUUUUUGUCAAACUUGGUGGCAGAGUGUGCAAAAGAACAGAAUGAGGUUUUGGAAAUGUUGGAUUUGUAGUAUUUUUGUGAUGUCCGGUUGAAGAUGUGAGGCAGCCAGUUACAAUUGUGGAUCUGCAGCCUGUGGGAGAGCCCUGGGUUAUUGGUGUGAAUUCAGGACUUGGUGGUGGGUUCCUUUCCUGUGGUUGCUGUAACAAAGGACCACAGCACAGCGGCUUGAGCAACAGAUGCCUUCUCCUUCAUGGCUCCGGAGGCAGAAAGCCUGCGGGCGAGGUGUCAUCAGGCUUCUCCUAGGGCUGUGAGGGGCCUGCUCCAGGCCUCCAUCCUCACUUCCGGCAGCCUUGGGCACUCCUGGGCUUCUAGGUGGCCACCUUCUCCCUGGGUCAUUAUGUCGUCUUCCUCUGUGUGGUUCUGCCUCUGCAUCCAAAUUUCCCUGCUCUGUAAGGACCCUGGAUUAUGCCCCACCCCAAUCACCUAAAGCUUACCUGCAUCCUCUGCAGAUACCUUUUUUCUAAAUGGGCCACAUGGAUAGGUACUGCGGGCUAGGACUUCAAUGUCUUUUGGGGGACACAAUUCUACCUCUAGCAGAUGGUGAUGCAGCUGUAAGCCUGGGUGACAUCACCUGGAGAGAGUUAGGGGUAAGAGCAGAAGAGGCCACGUGCCCAGCCUGGAAGAACUGUGUGAGUUCAUAAUAACAGUGGCCAAGGAGGGGAGAGAGGAGAGAGGCGAGGGGAGCAGGCAACAGGGAAACACAGAGGCGGCAGCCCAGAGCUCGGAGGAGGAGAGGCUGUGAAGGAGGGUGAGGUAUAGUCUCAAAUGCUGCUGAAAGGUUAAGUAUGUUGCAGUAAUUUGAAGGCUAAAACAUGCCAUUGGAUUUCAUAGUCAGGCAUCACCUGUGCCCUGUGCCUGAACUGCUGUGGUGUAGAUGAGCCUGGCUGAGGAAGCAGCCAGCCAGAGGGGAAGGAGUGGAGCCAGGCUCCGGGCCUGCUUAAGGGUUGGAAGAGGGUAGACCAGCUGCCAGAAGGCGCAUGGGCUCGGGCAGGGAGAGGCUUUUAAAAACGGGAGGGAUCUUAGAAGAAAGAGGAUCCAGUGGGUUGGAGAAAGUAAAGGGGUCAGCACGGCAGGUCCGGGAGUUGAAGGAGCAGCGGUGAGGGCUGACUGAGCAAGCGAUCUGCGAUCUGCUGGGAGAGGCUCCGGCGCUGAUCCCAUAGAUUCGCAGCGAUUUCGGAAGAUGAGUCCGGGGUGUGGCUGUGGGAAGGAUGGUCAGACAUAUUUUUCCUCUAUUGUAUUAAUGUCUUAUGUGAAGAUGGAGUAACCUCUUGGCUACCUAAUAUAUAUAUACAUAUAUAUAUAUAUAUAUAUCUAUCACAUCUUCUCACACAUUUAAUUGUAAAAAUGCUCCUACUUAAUCCUAAUCCAGCCACCUUCUGUGCAAUUCCAAAUGUGCUCACCUUCUCCCCAGUGGGUAACAAUCCAAAAUCACAUACAGGUUCUGUACUGUGAAGUGACACAAUUUAGCCCCUCUGAGUUCAGGUUUUCUAGGUAGUGUCAAUUCCUCCAUUAGCUUGGAUUUGAUCAGGUUUGUGACUUCUCACCAUUCUGCAGAUUAUGGCAUAAAUGAUAAAAGUAGCUUCUCCUGCCUACCCGAUACAGUGAAAUGGAAUAAAAAUCAAACCAAAAACGGGGAAAGAAGUGCCUACAUUGAUAACUGGUACAGAUUAUAUAAUAGCAUAUCUCGCUGAGCAAGCUUAGCAGGAUGAAUGAUAGAAACAAUGGGUCUCAUGAGCAUUCUCUUUGUUGCCUCACUUCUCUGGAUGUAGAAUAAAUUGUUGGAACCACCUUCAGAAAAGGCACCAAGGGAGGAUUUCCUACUGGUGCUUGUGGUGGUGAUGGCAGGCAGGUGUUUGAGGAGAUGCUAGUGAAUGGCUUUGAUCCUGGCACUUGUGGUGGUGAUGGCAGGCAGGUGUUUGAGGAGAUGCUAGUGAAUGGCUUUGAUCCUGGCACUUCAAUGUUGGGGCUUGGUUUAGGGUCUACCAUAAUGCUGGACGGUCACAGGUCUCUGUACAACAGGCUAGGGACUUUUUUUGACAGUACAACUUCCCUAAAACUGUAACUAAUUUCUUCACAGUUGUAUUUAGGAUCUUGUAUCCAAUGCCAGAAAUCUUGUCUUGUUCUCAAUUUGCUAAAGGAAUAGACAUGGUCCACACAACCUUUAGGCCUUUUGUUUGUUUGUUCUUUUUUCGCAUUUUGUCAAGAGGAUCUUUCUAUGACUCUAACUCAGCCACAUAGAGUUUGCCUCUGGAAUAGUUAGGAGUCUUUCUUUAAUCUUCCCUUGAGUGUCACCCUUGUCCUUUCAUUGCAUUUCAGACCAGCGCAUUUAGCAAUAGAAAAAGGCACCUUCAUUUUUGUUUGUAAGAUCCAGCAUGGUGGCGUGGACCUGUAGUCCCAGCUACUCGGGAGACUGAGGUGGAGAGGAUUGCUUGACCCCAAAGGGUAAAGGCUGUAGUAAGCCAUGAUCAUGCCACUGCACUCCAGAAUGGGCAACAGAGCUAGACCCUGUCUCAAAAAAAAAAUUAUUGCCAUAAUAUUUGUAACAUUCUUUCAUUACAU